CAUACCGAAUAUAAAAAAAACACUCAAUAACUUAUUACAAUUCUCUAAUAAAAAAUGUGGAUGAUCAACAAGUUUUUCUUCCUUCUUCCAGUUGCAUGCAUGGCCGUGUUGGGUACAGCUCAAACGUUGCCUUCGCAGCCUAUACCUGGACAGGACCCAAUAGAUUGUAUGUCAUCCCUGUAUGCUAUUCCGAACUGUCUCCAAGAAAUUGCCCAACCGUUUGUGAACGGAGAAUUCGGGACUAUCGGUCACUCUUGUUGUCAUGCCUUUUUGGGUCUCAGUGCAGAUUGUAUUACUGAGAGGUUUGCCUUAUUUCCCGAAUUUCCUCCGACUCUAAGGGAUCAUUGUUCCAGCCAAUGAUGAUAAUACCAAUUAAUGCCAUUUUCCUUUCGAGUCUUUGUUUCAAGGGGGUUUAUUAUUAUCCUACAUGUUCUAGGUCAUAAAAAUGUGCUAUCAAACAAUGUUAUGUUUCUGCUUUAAUAACAAGUUUUAACUUCAAUAUUUCAUGCUGAUGUAAACAUCUUGCGGAUAACUAAAUAAUAAUAAGGAUAAUUUCAUAUCUAUGUACUUUGGUUCAAAACCUCGUGAUAAUAAGAGCAAGUUUGGUGCCUCACAAAGCAUAUGUGUUCUCCUUUGGCUUUGAUUGGUCACGUUAAUACCACGCUUUGUGUUACUAUCUUGUACACGAAAUAUCUUUCGUGUGUGCAAGAGUAAAUAAUAGACUUAUAAGUAUAUUAUCUUGGUCUUUUGCAUUGAGUUGGUCUGAUUCAAAAGGUGGGGGUACAACAUUUACAGAUGAAGGUGAAAAGGCCUCUCUAUACCCUAAAGAAGGCUCUCGAAAAUGUUCCUCCUCCUAGAGACUUCAAAAUACUAAUGGUCAUCUGAACGUAGCUCCCUUUUUUUGGGUCAAAAUGUGAAUUCAUUUCAUAGAAAUGGCACUGAGAUACAAUAAACUUGAAUUCUUAAAUAGCCCUUUAAUUUGCUUAGCAUAGCUCCCUUUUGAUUUUCUUUUUCUGUUGGUAGGUUCUAGACUUCUAGUCGGUUAAUCUCUUAUUAAACAAACGAUCAGGGGAAAGGAAUCAGAUCUCGUUUUGGAAAAGAUGUCUCAGGAUGAGUUUUAUGUAGAACCAUUGUGUACAGAAAAGCUUCAUUGUCUCCCUUUCUUUUUUUAAAUGCCGCUCAAGCCAACAGAGACUAGUGUCCUUUAUGUCCAGCUAUUUUUUUGCCUUUCAUACUUAUACAUUGCAGAAAUGUAUAUUGUUCUGACGUUUUGAUCAAUUUUCCAACAGUGCAUCCUGGACAAAUCAUUGACUACGAUAAAUUGGUUCAUAAUUUAGAACUGAGUCCAUAAACCGAGUUCAAAUAACUAAGUAGACUUAAUAACAUCAAAGAUCACUCGUUUGGAGAGAGACCAACGAAUAUCAACCUUGAAGUUUUAUUACUGACUCUUGGAAGUUAGAAGAGAGAUACAUAUACGUCUAUUUACUUAAACAAUAAAAACACACAUGGAGUAGAUCAUUAGUGUCAGUUUUUUUUCCACAUUCUAUGUUUUUGAUCGACUAACACUACUCAGAAUUUUACCUUGAUUCAUAAUGCAUCAAACAAGUUCAAGAACUAGUGUAUCAGUAAAAAAAAGUUCAAGAACUAGCGUAGAUCGAUCAAACAGUUUAAGCAAAAUUAAUAUUAUUGCAGAUCAAUUGCUGUUAUUCUAGAACAAAUAGUACAAUACCAUCGUUUCAUAAUAUAUGAUAUUUUAGAAGGUUUUUGGUGAAAAUAUAAGAUAUUGAGAUGUUUUAAGAUUUAUUUGUUAACUUUACUAGAAACUGUUUUACCAAUUAAAAUUUUUCAAUUUUUUAUGAUUAGUUGAAUUACUUUUAAUUUAUAUUUUUAGUAAGGUAUUGUAGAGAGUGUUUCAAAAAAAAAAGGUAAGGUAUUGUAGAGAAAAGUAAUUUCCUAAUGUUCGUGUGUUUAAGCAUAACAUUCUACAUUACGAAACUUAGGGAGUAUUAAUUUCUAUCACACUAAUAAACCAUACAGAAUAAUAUUUGGAUAGUAAUCGCAAGAACAUAAAACCCCGUUAUAGCCUAACGAAUCGUACGUAGAAGAAUAAGAGACCGAAUAGUAAACUAUCAGGAGGAACCACCAAUAAUACGAAACAAACUGUAUUAACCUUUAUUUGGGGUCAUUCCAAGAGUGCCUACGUUAAUUGACAAAGAAACCGUUCACACAAAUGCAAUGUAAUAAAAUUUCACAUUUGAUUCUUGUCCUAUAUAAUAUCCAAUCACUGACUACUAUUAAAUCCAUACCAAAGUUUUUUUUUUAAAUAACUUAUUACGAUUCUCUAAUAAAAAAUGUGGAUGAUCAGCAAGUUUUUCUUCCUUCUUCCAGUUGCAUGCAUGGCCGUGUUGGGUACAGCUCAAACGUUGCCUUCGCAGCCUAUACCUGGACACGACCCAACAGAUUGUAUGUCAUCCCUGUAUGCUAUUCCGAACUGUCUCCAAGAAAUUGUCCAUUCGUUUGUAAACGGAGAAUUCGGGACUAUUGGUCACUCUUGUUGUCAUGCCUUUUUGGGUCUCAGUGCAGAUUGUAUUACUGAGAGGUUUGCCUUCGCUCCCGACUUCCCUCCGACUCUGAGGGAUCAUUGUUCCGGACAAUGAUGAUAAUAACAAUUAAUGCCAUUAUCCUUUCGAGUCUUUGUUUCGAAAUGUGCUAUCAAACAAUGUUAUGUUUCUGCUUAUUAACAACUUUUAACUUCCAAAUAAACACUAUCUUACCAGCUUUAGCCAUAUUUCAUGUUGAUGUAAACAUCUUGCGGAUAACUAGAUAAUAAUAAGGAUAUAUUACAUUACAUGUUAUGGUUUCCGACUUGAAAGUAUUAUGGUCUUGGUCCAAAAACUCGUGAUAAUA
Molecule: long non-coding RNA, 2907 nt
Filed under: Brassica napus (rape)
Lineage: Eukaryota; Viridiplantae; Streptophyta; Magnoliopsida; Brassicales; Brassicaceae
Description: long non-coding RNA (BNAP_LNC026774)
Source: RNAcentral